CGUACACUCCUGCGGGAGGCAGCAGUGGGGAAUAUUGGACAAUGGGCGCAAGCCUGAUCCAGCCAUGCCGCGUGAGUGAUGAAGGCCCUAGGGUUGUAAAGCUCUUUCACCGGUGAAGAUAAUGACGGUAACCGGAGAAGAAGCCCCGGCUAACUUCGUGCCAGCAGCCGCGGUAAUACGAAGGGGGCUAGCGUUGUUCGGAUUUACUGGGCGUAAAGCGCACGUAGGCGGACUAUUAAGUCAGGGGUGAAAUCCCGGGGCUCAACCCCGGAACUGCCUUUGAUACUGGUAGUCUUGAGUUCGAGAGAGGUGAGUGGAAUUCCGAGUGUAGAGGUGAAAUUCGUAGAUAUUCGGAGGAACACCAGUGGCGAAGGCGGCUCACUGGCUCGAUACUGACGCUGAGGUGCGAAAGCGUGGGGAGCAAACAGGAUUAGAUACCCUAGUAGUCCCAUG
This 453-nucleotide ribosomal RNA is filed under the name uncultured organism. RNAcentral describes it as "partial 16S ribosomal RNA". It matches the Rfam family "Bacterial small subunit ribosomal RNA", at positions 330 to 799 of the family's 1533-position model. The record is from RNAcentral.